CUUCACUGUCAGCCUCACAGCCGCGUCAUUGGUUCCUUCCAGGAAAUGGACUGGGACAUUGGAGAGCUGUAAAGCGUAAUGUAGACCACAGGAUUUGUUUGUGCUGCGUCAGCCCACCAAUUCUCCGCUCAUUGCUACUGUGUGUAAGCGUUUGGUUCGAGGAGCUGGCAUUCUAUUGGAUCUGGGUGCCAAAGUCAGGGAGGCCGGCUUUCUUUCCCACUUGUGGUGGUUUUUCACUGCUAUCCAGUCAUGUGUGAGCACAUGUGAAUGCUGUGAUCCUCUAUUCUUGGGCUGAUGCUGAUCCUUGUAGGCCACCCCUGCUGGUAAUCCCCAGUUCUUGCAGCUGUGUCUGAUCAUAUAUUUGAUAUUAUAUCGUAUAACUCCAGUUGCGGUGUGUGUGUGUCCUGCUAUUUGCACAACUCAUGGUUAAGGCCAGUUCUUUUAAG
Long non-coding RNA from Myxocyprinus asiaticus (Chinese sucker), 446 nucleotides. RefSeq lists it as uncharacterized. The record is from RefSeq and is a predicted model, not a curated record. The transcript is spliced from 3 exons. NCBI's taxonomy places the organism in Eukaryota, Metazoa, Chordata, Actinopteri, Cypriniformes, Catostomidae.